UACAGAGGUGGCAAGCGUUGUUCGGAAUUACUGGGCGUAAAGGGCGCGUAGGCGGUCUCGUAAGUCCCGCGUGAAAUCCCCCGGCUCAACUGGGGAAUGGCGCGGGAAACUGUGAGGCUUGAGUUCGGGAGAGGGAAGCGGAAUUCCGGGUGUAGCGGUGAAAUGCGUAGAUAUCCGGAGGAACACCGGUGGCGAAGGCGGCUUCCUGGACCGACACUGACGCUGAGGCGCGAAAGCUAGGGGAGCAAACGGGAUUAGAAACCCCCGUAG
This 270-nucleotide ribosomal RNA is filed under the name uncultured bacterium. Its description in RNAcentral is "partial 16S ribosomal RNA". It matches the Rfam family "Bacterial small subunit ribosomal RNA", at positions 524 to 793 of the family's 1533-position model. The record is from RNAcentral.